This is an RNA transcript of Gavialis gangeticus (Gharial), 1436 nucleotides long. It is a transcript of the gene named phospholamban, with no coding region annotated. The record is from RefSeq and is a predicted model, not a curated record. The transcript is spliced from 3 exons. NCBI's taxonomy places the organism in Eukaryota, Metazoa, Chordata, Crocodylia, Gavialidae.
UCCUGCAUGACAUCAUGAGCCCGGCCUCUGAAACUUUUGUUAUUUUUUCUCCACCUACUUCAAUUGUUCCCACAAACUUGGUGACAGACUCGGACAAGUUGCCAGAGAACUCCAGACAAUUUCCCACAGCUCAGAGCACACAAUUCUAUAAUUCACUAAUAAUCAUCAUCAGAGGUGGGUGACAACAGUCAUGGAGGAUUAAGGCAGAAGAAGCUGAACCAGCGAAAACUCCAAUCAAGAGUCAGUUGCAAGCACAAGAGGGCAGACCUGUGAAGAGCAUGGAUCUUGCUAACAACCGAGGACUCAACUUGCUACUCAAUUUCUUGCUUAUUGUCAUGGUGCUGGUGCUUGUGUUUAUUCUUGUGAAACUCAUGUGAAGCCCUGUACGGUUCCAUGUUCCUGAAAUGAUAACUUAGCACUUCAAAGUAUCUGAACUUAAUAUGCAACGCUGUACAGACAGAGAAAUGUCUAACAGGAUACAACCAACACACAUUCAAAUAUCUAUCCUCCAACAAAAACAGAUCUUAAAAGCUAAGUAUAAUGAUGUAUCUGCCAUUAGAAAGAGAGAGUGAAUAGUUCCUUGCUGGCUACGAAAGGAAACCGUAUCUAGGCUGACAUUAGUCUUGUCACUGAUACAGAACAUUUACUUAUAUUUAAAUAUCUACAAAACAGACCGCAGCUUUUCAGGAGUAUAAUCAUUGCAAAGAGGACUGCAGAAAUAGGGAAUCUCCACAGAUCAACUUCUAUGCAGAAUGUGAAACACAGGCAAGCCAGAAGGGCAGAAAACAUGCCUAAAGAAAUUGAUAGCCAGUUUCAAGUAACUUCUGAAAAGGGAAACAAAAAUAAGGUAGGUAUCCCCUAAAGGAGAAAUACCUACCAAGCAGUUACAGGAUUUGACAAGCAGAUAAAGUUCAAAUAUGAAAGUGUAGUGUAGAUUUUUAGGAGAUGCACCAUCCACUGCAUCAUCUGAGAAAUGAGAAGCCAUUGCUAUUGUGCAUCAGUACUCAAAGCAGUUAGAAAUUCACCAAAUGCUGAGCUUGACAUUUUGAACAGACAAUUAAUUACAAGAUAUUGUAAAACAGGCUACUAUCAAGCCUCCACACUCUAAUAACUAAAGUCUGCUCAAAAUAUCAUGCAAUAGUAGAUGGAAUGGCCUGGGUAGUUGCAAGAAGAGCUCACUGCUGUCAUUUACUAUGAGUGCAAUAAACAUUUGAAAUGGUCUUUCCAAACUCAACAGGCAUAUGGAGCAACAAACUAUAAAUCAACUACUUUUUAUGUUACUACAGCAGUGUAUUGUCAAGUCCUGUAACAACUGUCAAUGUAUGUUUCAAGUAGAAAGAAGUUGCACAGCUACUUCACUAUAAGCACUUUAUCACACAUUUUGAUUUAUAAUUUUGAGGGAUAUUCUGCUUUGUAGUAUGCCUGUACAUUCAUAU